Molecule: transfer RNA, 73 nt
Filed under: Felis catus (domestic cat)
Lineage: Eukaryota; Metazoa; Chordata; Mammalia; Carnivora; Felidae
Also listed under: 3 other names
Rfam family: tRNA
About the family: Transfer RNA (tRNA) molecules are approximately 80 nucleotides in length. Their secondary structure includes four short double-helical elements and three loops (D, anti-codon, and T loops).
Source: Rfam by way of RNAcentral
ACCUGGCUGGCUCAGUGGGUAGAGCAUGUGAUUCUUGAUCUCAGGGUCAUGAGUUCAAGCCCCACACUAGGCA